CCUACGGGUGGCAGCAGUGGGGAAUAUUGCACAAUGGGGGAAACCCUGAUGCAGCGACGCCGCGUGAGUGAAGAAGGAUUUCGGUACGUAAAGCUCUAUUAGCAGGGAAGAAAAUGACGGUACCUGACUAAGAAUCCCCGGCUAACUACGUGCCAGCAGCCGCGGUAAUACGUCGGGGGCAAGCGUUAUCCGGAUUUUCUGGGUGUAAAGGGAGCGUAGUCGGCGGCGCAAGUCUGAAGUGAAAUCCCAUGGCUUAACCAUGGAACUGCUUUGGAUACUGUUCAGCUGGAGUGCAGGAGAGGUAAGCGGAAUUCCUAGUGUAGCGGUGAAAUGCGUAGAUAUUAGGAGGAACACCAGUGGCGAAGGCGGCUUACUGGACUGUAACUGACGUUGAGGCUCGAAAGCGUGGGGAGCAAACAGGAGUAGAUACCCGGGUAGUC
Molecule: ribosomal RNA, 440 nt
Filed under: uncultured bacterium
Lineage: Bacteria
Description: partial 16S ribosomal RNA
Rfam family: Bacterial small subunit ribosomal RNA
Source: RNAcentral